GGCUUGUAGCUCAGGUGGUUAGAGCGCACCCCUGAUAAGGGUGAGGUCGGUGGUUCAAGUCCACUCAGGCCUACCAG
Molecule: transfer RNA, 77 nt
Filed under: Salmonella enterica subsp. enterica serovar Typhimurium
Lineage: Bacteria; Pseudomonadati; Pseudomonadota; Gammaproteobacteria; Enterobacterales; Enterobacteriaceae
Description: tRNA-Ile
Rfam family: tRNA
About the family: Transfer RNA (tRNA) molecules are approximately 80 nucleotides in length. Their secondary structure includes four short double-helical elements and three loops (D, anti-codon, and T loops).
Source: RNAcentral